AUAAUACAUUAAAUAAGCCCUACAAUGAAACUUCAGGUCUGGAUUUUUGUCCUGAACAUCUGGUCAACGUUUAGCGUUUGCCGGCAUGAAAACACACGACUAUAAGGGUUAAACUAACAUGACCAAAUACAUCUGAAACCGGCAGAGCAAACUGCUGCUUCUAACAACGUAAGCGAUACUCGGACAUACACACACCAGGCCAGAG
Long non-coding RNA from Oxyura jamaicensis (ruddy duck), 205 nucleotides. RefSeq lists it as uncharacterized. Lineage: Eukaryota; Metazoa; Chordata; Aves; Anseriformes; Anatidae. The transcript has 3 exons. The record is from RefSeq and is a predicted model, not a curated record.